RNAcentral lists this ribosomal RNA (460 nucleotides) under uncultured bacterium. Its description in RNAcentral is "partial 16S ribosomal RNA". It matches the Rfam family "Bacterial small subunit ribosomal RNA", at positions 338 to 795 of the family's 1533-position model. The record is from RNAcentral.
CCUACGGGUGGCAGCAGUGAGGAAUAUUGGUCAAUGGGCGGAAGCCUGAACCAGCCAAGUCGCGUGAGGGAAUAAGGCCCUACGGGUCGUAAACCUCUUUUGCCGGGGAGCAAGGGCGGGGACGUGUCCCGGCCCGGAGAGUACCCGGAGAAAAAGCAUCGGCUAACUCCGUGCCAGCAGCCGCGGUAAUACGGAGGAUGCGAGCGUUAUCCGGAUUCAUUGGGUUUAAAGGGUGCGCAGGCGGGCCUUUAAGCCGGCGGUGAAAUCGCGGGGCUCAACCCCGCCGAGCCGUCGGAACUGGGGGCCUUGAGUGCGGCGGAGGCAUGCGGAAUGCGCGGUGUAGCGGUGAAAUGCAUAGAUAUCGCGCAGAACCCCGAUUGCGAAGGCAGCGUGCCGUGCCGCCACUGACGCUGAGGCACGAAAGCGCGGGGAUCGAACAGGAUUAGAUACCCCAGUAGUC